This 62-nucleotide transfer RNA is filed under the name Meretrix lamarckii (Korean hard clam). RNAcentral's name for it is "tRNA-Leu". Lineage: Eukaryota; Metazoa; Mollusca; Bivalvia; Venerida; Veneridae. The record is from RNAcentral.
GCUGAGGUGGCAGAUUUAUGUGUUGGAUUUAGGGUCUAAAGAAGAGUAUUCCUCUCUCGGCA